RNAcentral lists this long non-coding RNA (550 nucleotides) under Ananas comosus (pineapple). Its description in RNAcentral is "long non-coding RNA (ACOM_LNC036505)". Lineage: Eukaryota; Viridiplantae; Streptophyta; Magnoliopsida; Poales; Bromeliaceae. The record is from RNAcentral.
UCAACGUUGACAUGCAUAUAAAUAAUAGAUUAAUUGCAUACAGCUCUCCGGAAACAUAUUGAAUAACGAAUAUGUUCUUAUAAAGUUUAACUUUUCAUGUUUUUUCCUAUAAAAAUUCUAACGUUUUUCAAAUAUCCCCCUACUAAUAGGGUUUGUUAAAAAAAUAUAGUUAACCACAGAUAAAAUAUUUAAUCCUGAAUAGUGAAUAAGAUAAAUUAAUCUUUUUAUCUGUCUUAUAUUAUUUGUGAUGGUAUAAAGAAAAAAAAGAUGACCGUUAAAAAAUUUAGAGAGGAUAUUUUUACAUAAUUCUAACAGUUAGACUUUUGAAGUGACAUAUUUGUGAUGGUUAUAAUGUCAUUACACUUAUCUUCUAUUAAAAAAUAAGCAGUGUUUUAAUAGUAACAAACCAAAGAGGCAAAUAUGAAUAUCACUGAAUUUUUACAGGAAUAAAUAUAAAAAGUUGAACUUUAUAGAGAUAUAUUUGUUAUUUGAUAUGUUUACAAGGAGCUGUAUAAAAUUAAGCCAAUAAUAAAUGUAUAUUUUUUAUUCA